UAACCCAAGAGUGGUGGACCUGUGACUUU
RNAcentral lists this non-coding RNA (29 nucleotides) under Rattus norvegicus (Norway rat). The record is from RNAcentral. Lineage: Eukaryota; Metazoa; Chordata; Mammalia; Rodentia; Muridae.